Long non-coding RNA from Equus caballus (horse), 1934 nucleotides. The record is from Ensembl. NCBI's taxonomy places the organism in Eukaryota, Metazoa, Chordata, Mammalia, Perissodactyla, Equidae.
GUGAGAGCAGGGGGAGAGAGAUCGCUAAUUCAAAAGAGGAGGGGUGCCACAGCCCUGGAAUUCUAGUCUGCCAGAGCCAGGGUUCCCCGGGAGUAUGAACGGCUGUGGGGGUCCAGCAGCUGUGGGGAAAACAGCCUGGUUCUUGCUGCCAUCUCUGCACUAAUGUACAGCAGCUGCUGAGCUCAUCCAAGAGAUGGCUGGAGCGGGAUGGGACCUUGCUAGAAUACAGCGAGCAUCGUGCGUGGAUAUCGGCAAAGUGGUCACGCAUGUGCCUUACUGUGUAGACAUCAAAAGUUCGAUGGUGUAUGAACGAUGGAUUCUCCUGAGACAAGACAUUUCAGAAUUGUGGGGAUGACUUUGUGGGCUGGCACUUUUCAAGGCACAAAUUCACAUAAAUCACCUAGAUUGUAUUUUCACAACAGACACACAAACACAACCCAGCCCACGACUGGUUGCUAUGUGUGAUUUUUAAGCAAACUCUCGUUGACGAUAAUCUCUGGGGGCUGCCAAGCUGGUUUCCUUCCUGUUGGUAUAAAGUCCCCCAGUGACUCCUUAUCGGUCUUGACUUUCUUCCUAUUUACUAAUAACUUCUCAAUGCACAGCCUAGAGUGAAACAGAACUACAGUGAAUAUAUUUCAAAUAAUGGGAUUUUCGUGUAUAUGCUUCUGGGAUAAUGGCCCCAAAUAUGCCCCUGGGAACAAAUUAACUGCAAAGGUUUGCAUCUGUGAUUCGGAUUUCCUGCUGAACUUGCUUUGAAAGAGCAAAUACGUGUGGAAUGAAGCUGCUUUGUAGGUUUCCUCUUUAUACAAGACCUCCUUUCUGCUUAAUCACCUAGAUUGACUCCGUGAAAGCACAAAUGGAUGUAGUUCACUGAAGAGCAUUUCCGAAACAUGUGUCUUUCCUGUGAUGAUGUAUAAUUAAUCACCUCCAGGCAAGGCAAACAAGUCAAGGUGGCUUUUAAAGACUCUGUCAGUCUUUCUUCUUCUCUUCCUGUCUUGUCUUGUCAGAAGAAUCUGCAACUCUCCUCUGAUUUUCUCUGCUCCGAGCCUAAUGUGACCAUGUAAGUUCCAUCAGUGGCUCCUUUGAACCGCUCUUCACUCCUCUGGAUGCAGAGGCCAAGUCUACACAGCGGAUAACACAGACAAAUAAAUGCAAGGGUCUGAAUCAACACACACGGAAAUCUCUGCAGCUGCCAACCUGCUUCAGUUUCCUUUCUCCUUCCUCUUCCAGCUGGACCCAACCAGGGGCCCUUUACACAACAGUGCUUUCGUUCAUCCUGCCCCUCUCUGGUGAUGACAUCUCUGCAGGAAAAACUCCCCUCUCAGGCAUGUGUAUUGUGGCGAGGAUUCUCAGAGGGCACCUCAGGUUGAAGCCUUCUUUCUUACUGGGCCCAGAAAAGUUCUCUUCUCUGAUAAGACAACUCAGAGCAUCAGUGAGUAGACUGGGAAGGUGUAGAAGCAGAGAUGAAGGUGGUUUCAUCUAUGCUCACUCAUAAAUCACUGUGGCCUUGGCAUUCCCAAAGCAAGUGCGUUGUUACGUGUAGCUGCUACGCAAAAAGCUGUGGAAGUCCUAAUGCCAAGUGUCUGUGAAUGGGACCGUCUUGGGAAACAGGAUCUUCGCAGGUGAUCACGCUAAGAAGAGGUCGUGAGGAUGGGCCCUGAUCCAAUAUGACUGGGAUCUUUAUAGAAAGAGGAAAUUUGGACACAGAGGCAGACAAACAUGCAAGGAGAUGCCAAGUAAGAUGAAGGCAGAGAUUGGGGUGAUGCUUCUAUAAUCCAGGAACAAUACAGAUUGCCAGCAAACCACCCGAAGCCAGGAGUCAGACGUGGAACACAUACUCCCUCCCAGUCCUCAGAAGGAACCAACCCUGCCUACACCUUGACCUUGGACUUCUAGCCUCCUGAACUGUGAGACGUUACAUUUCUGCUGUUCUA